Molecule: non-coding RNA, 956 nt
Filed under: Rasbora tornieri
Lineage: Eukaryota; Metazoa; Chordata; Actinopteri; Cypriniformes; Danionidae
Description: 12S ribosomal RNA
Rfam family: Bacterial small subunit ribosomal RNA
Source: RNAcentral
CAAAGGCAUGGUCCCAACCUUUAUAUCAGCCUUAACCAAACUUACACAUGCAAGCAUCCACAACCCUGUGAGUAUCCCCUUAACCCCUAAUCCGGGGAAAAGGAGCAGGCAUCAGGAACAAUUUAACCUAGCCCAAGACGCCUAGCUUAAGCCACACCCCCAAGGGAACCCAGCAGUGAUAAACAUUAAGCCAUGGGUGAAAACCCGACUUAGUUCAAGUUAAGAGGGCCAGUAAAAUCCGUGCCAGCAACCGCGGUUAAACGAAUAGCCCUAGUUGAUAAAGCCACGGCGUAAAGGGUGGUUAGGGUAAAACAAAAUAAAGUUAAAUGGCCCCUUGGCUGUUAUACGCUUCUAGGAGUCCGAAACCCAAACACGAAAGUUACUUCAACAAACAUUACCCGACCCCACGAAAGCUAAGAAACAAACUGGGAUUAGAUACCCCACUAUGCUCAGCCGUAAACCAAGACAUAAAUACACAAUAAUGUCCGCCAGGGUAUUACGAGCAUCAGCUUAAAACCCAAAGGACCUGACGGUGCCUUAAACCCCCCUAGAGGAGCCUGUUCUAUAACCGAUAAUCCCCGUUUAACCUCACCAUUUCUGGUUCAACCCAGCCUAUAUACCACCGUCGCCAGCUUACCCUGUGAGGGAAUAAAAGUAAGCAAAAAGAGUACUACCCAAAACGUCAGGUCAAGGUGUAGCGAACGAAAUGGGAAGAAAUGGGCUACAUUUUCUAUUAGCAGAAAACUACGAAUAUGCAACAUGAAACAAUGCUUGAAGGAGGAUUUAGUAGUAAAAAGGAAACAGAGUGUCCUUUUGAACCCGGCCCUAAGGCACGUACACACCGCCCGUCACUCUCCCCAGUCACAAUGCAUCAAACUUAUAUAACAUAAAAGCACCGACAAGAGGAGGCAAGUCGUAACAAGGUAAGUGUACCGGAAGGUGCACUUGGACAAACC